Molecule: non-coding RNA, 171 nt
Organism: Drosophila ananassae
Lineage: Eukaryota; Metazoa; Arthropoda; Insecta; Diptera; Drosophilidae
Source: Rfam
ACUUAACCAAAGCCUGGCUUCAAAAUUAAGCUUGCUGCCGCAGCAUAACAUCUAAAACGGCAUAAAAUUCGCAAAGGAUAAGGAGGAGGUUUUAGUACGUAGGCGUCUCAGGACUUGUCUCGGGAUGAAUCGUUCCUGCUUAUCAAUGGGAUUAGAUUACAAACCGCCAAU